Molecule: long non-coding RNA, 1103 nt
Organism: Callithrix jacchus (white-tufted-ear marmoset)
Lineage: Eukaryota; Metazoa; Chordata; Mammalia; Primates; Cebidae
Source: RefSeq, a predicted model, not a curated record
UCAGCUCUUAGGGGAAGCCAGCUGCGGUGUCAAGAGGACACGCAAGCAGCCCUACAGUUUCUUGGGGUAAGUAACUGAGGCCUGCUGCCAGCAACCAGCACCAAUUAGCAAUUAGGUGAUUGAGCCAUGUGGGAGGUGGAUUCUUCAGCCCCAGUGCGACGUUCAGUGACUGUAACCCCAGCUGACAUUUUGAUUCCAACCUUUUGAGGGACUCUGAGGCAGAACCACCAAGCUGAGUUCCCAGCCCACAGAAACUGUGUGAGGCACUGUGUCAGAAACUGGGAAUAAAACCACGAACAAGAGUCUGCUCUUAAGCAACUGACAUCUAAUCUGUGUUUUAGCAGAAGGGGUGCCCAGAAGUCAAAGUCCAGACAUUUAAAAGCCCAAAACUGUUGUCUUAACACAAUUCUGAAGAACUAUCAUGGUUCCAGAGCUUCUCAGAAGGUUGUCUGAGGUCUCAGUUAAACUGCGUGGCAGUUCAGAAAACACCAGCGGUCAUAGGACUUGUCCCAUCAUCUGCACAAGGCUGGUGAAUGGCUCAGGUAGAAUGAAAACUGACAACCCAGACCACUUAAUCUGUGGAGAGUCCAGGGGCCAGACACAAUGAGGAUAAGCACUGCAAGGAAGACGAUCGCAAACCAGCCUCUGGAAAACCCAUCCAUACACGCUGCAAGUUCUCUUUUUAUAGACUGAAAUGGAAGUGUAUUUAUUUGGUUUUCUAUAUAAAUUUUCCUUGGAACUGAGGGCUUAUUCACUUCAUUACCUCCAGCAGACUUAUAGUGAGAAUAGAAUUUGUCAACAAUUACUUAAUAUGGAAACUUGGCAAUGUAGAAAAUGAUUUUACAUUCUUAAACUUGAACAAGGACAUUCAGACAGCAGAAAAACUAAUUAGUUUAACCCUUGGUAACAGAAUAACUGACUUGAUUAGGAAUUGAGCAUGGGUGUAGCAAUGCUUAGUUGUACUGAUUCACAAGAGCAGAGCCUAUUGUUAAAAUUUCAGAAAUUCUGCAAACUUGUUGAUGCCAUAGAGUCUUUGUUAAAAAUUUAAUUAUGUAGACUCAUAAUUAAAUAAAUUACAUCAAAAACAAAGCUAAAAUAGUUGU